AUUGAACGCUGGCGGCAGGCUUAACACAUGCAAGUCGAGCGGAGUGAUGGUGCUUGCACUAUCACUUAGCGGCGGACGGGUGAGUAAUGCUUAGGAAUCUGCCUAUUAGUGGGGGACAACACCUCGAAAGGGAUGCUAAUACCGCAUACGUCCUACGGGAGAAAGCAGGGGAUCACUUGUGACCUUGCGCUAAUAGAUGAGCCUAAGUCGGAUUAGCUAGUUGGUGGGGUAAAGGCCUACCAAGGCGACGAUCUGUAGCGGGUCUGAGAGGAUGAUCCGCCAAACUGGGACGGGGACACGGCCCAGACUCCUACGGGAGGCAGCAGUGGGGAAUAUUGGACAAUGGGGGGAACCCUGAUCCAGCCAUGCCGCGUGUGUGAAGAAGGCCUUAUGGUUGUAAAGCACUUUAAGCGAGGAGGAGGCUCUUUUGGUUAAUACCCAAGAUGAGUGGACGUUACUCGCAGAAUAAGCACCGGCUAACUCUGUGCCAGCAGCCGCAGUAA
Molecule: ribosomal RNA, 503 nt
Filed under: uncultured bacterium
Lineage: Bacteria
Description: partial 16S ribosomal RNA
Rfam family: Bacterial small subunit ribosomal RNA
Source: RNAcentral